This 492-nucleotide ribosomal RNA is filed under the name uncultured bacterium. RNAcentral's name for it is "partial 16S ribosomal RNA". It matches the Rfam family "Bacterial small subunit ribosomal RNA", at positions 29 to 507 of the family's 1533-position model. The record is from RNAcentral.
AGUGAACGCUGGCGGUAGGCCUAACACAUGCAAGUCGAACGGCAGCACAGUAAGAGCUUGCUCUUACGGGUGGCGAGUGGCGGACGGGUGAGGAAUACAUCGGAAUCUACUUUUUCGUGGGGGAUAACGUAGGGAAACUUACGCUGAUACCGCAUACGACCUACGGGUGGAAGCAGGGGAUCUUCGGACCUUGCGCGAUUGAAUGAGCCGAUGUCGGAUUAGCUAGUUGGCGGGGUAAAGGCCCACCAAGGCGACGAUCCGUAGCUGGUCUGAGAGGAUGAUCAGCCACACUGGAACUGAGACACGGUCCAGACUCCUACGGGAGGCAGCAGUGGGGAAUAUUAGACAAUGGGCGCAAGCCUGAUCCAGCCAUACCGCGUGGGUGAAGAAGGCCUUCGGGUUGUAAAGCCCUUUUGUUGGGAAAGAAAAGCAGCAGGUUAAUACCCCGCUGUUCUGACGGUACCCAAAGAAUAAGCACCGGCUAACUUCGUG